Molecule: long non-coding RNA, 247 nt
Organism: Orcinus orca (killer whale)
Lineage: Eukaryota; Metazoa; Chordata; Mammalia; Artiodactyla; Delphinidae
Exons: 2
Source: RefSeq, a predicted model, not a curated record
GCCCCGGUGCACAGGAACACCUUCUCAAUGCUGCAGUAGAAGGAAUCGCCCAGAUUCUGGACAGGAUCCACCAUGACCCGACCAUAAAUCGUAUCGCCUGAAACAGAGACGUGGAAAUGUUACUUCUGUUAAGUGAUAAGGUGGACUGGGGUCAUGGAGGAUAAGCUAAUAAUUAUUUAUUGAGCAUCUACCACUUUUCAGACAUCGUGUUAAGUUCACAAAUAAUGCUACUCAAUGUUUUCAUUCU